Testicularia cyperi is the source of this 106-nucleotide non-coding RNA. Lineage: Eukaryota; Fungi; Basidiomycota; Ustilaginomycetes; Ustilaginales; Anthracoideaceae. The record is from the annotation of a GenBank genome assembly.
GGUUGUAUGGAGUAGUUGGUUAACUUAGGAGAUUCUGAUUAGUGGCGUCGUAAGAUGUCCAGCAUCUGACCUUCUCUUGCCCUGGGUUCGAAUCCCAGUACGACCU